UAGGGAAUCUUCGGCAAUGGACGAAAGUCUGACCGAGCAACGCCGCGUGAGUGAAGAAGGUUUUCGGAUCGUAAAACUCUGUUGUUAGAGAAGAACAAGGACGUUAGUAACUGAACGUCCCCUGACGGUAUCUAACCAGAAAGCCACGGCUAACUACGUGCCAGCAGCCGCGGUAAUACGUAGGUGGCAAGCGUUGUCCGGAUCUAUUGGGCGUAAAGCGAGCGCAGGCGGUUUCUUAAGUCUGAUGUGAAAGCCCCCGGCUCAACCGGGGGGGGUCAUUGGAAACUGGGAGACUUGAGUGCAGAAGAGGAGAGUGGAAUUCCAUGUGUAGCGGUGAAAUGCGUAGAUAUAUGGAAGAACACCAGUGGCGAAGGCGGCUCUCUGGUCUGUAACUGACGCUGAGGCUCGAAAGCGGGGGGAGCAAACAGG
This 429-nucleotide ribosomal RNA is filed under the name Chloroflexota bacterium. RNAcentral's name for it is "Chloroflexi bacterium partial 16S ribosomal RNA". It matches the Rfam family "Bacterial small subunit ribosomal RNA", at positions 355 to 776 of the family's 1533-position model. The record is from RNAcentral. Lineage: Bacteria; Bacillati; Chloroflexota.